RNAcentral lists this ribosomal RNA (429 nucleotides) under Pseudomonadota bacterium. RNAcentral's name for it is "Proteobacteria bacterium partial 16S ribosomal RNA". It matches the Rfam family "Bacterial small subunit ribosomal RNA", at positions 355 to 776 of the family's 1533-position model. The record is from RNAcentral. Lineage: Bacteria; Pseudomonadati; Pseudomonadota.
UGGGGAAUAUUGGACAAUAGGCGAAAGCCUGAUCCAGCCAUGCCGCGUGUGUGAAGAAGGUCUUCGGAUUGUAAAGAACUUUAAGUUGGGAGGAAGGGCAGUAAGCGAAUACCUUGCUGUUUUGACGUUACCGACAGAAUAAGCACCGGCUAACUCUGUGCCAGCAGCCGCGGUAAUACAGAGGGUGCAAGCGUUAAUCGGAAUUACUGGGCGUAAAGCGCGCGUAGGUGGUUCGUUAAGUUGAAUGUGAAAGCCCCGGGCUCAACCUGGGAACUGCAUCCAAAACUGGCGAGCUAGAGUAGGGCAGAGGGUGGUGGAAUUUCCUGUGUAGCGGUGAAAUGCGUAGAUAUAGGAAGGAACACCAGUGGCGAAGGCGACCACCUGGGCUCAUACUGACACUGAGGUGCGAAAGCGUGGGGAGCAAACAGG